RNAcentral lists this ribosomal RNA (673 nucleotides) under uncultured bacterium. Its description in RNAcentral is "bacterial SSU rRNA". It matches the Rfam family "Bacterial small subunit ribosomal RNA", at positions 94 to 787 of the family's 1533-position model. The record is from RNAcentral.
AGUGGCGCACGGGUGCGUAACGCGUAUACACCUACCUUAUACAGGGGUAUAGCCCAGGGAAACUUGGAUUAACACCCCAUAGUUUGGCAUCAUUAAAACUACGGUGGUAUAAGAUGGGUAUGCGUCCCAUUAGCUUGUUGGUGUGGUAACGGCACACCAAGGCAACGAUGGGUAGGGGCCCUGAGAGGGGGAUCCCCCACACUGGUACUGAGACACGGACCAGACUCCUACGGGAGGCAGCAGUGAGGAAUAUUGGACAAUGGGCGGGAGCCUGAUCCAGCCAUGCCGCGUGCAGGAAGACUGCCUAUGGGUUGUAAACUGCUUUUAUACGGGAAGAAACCCACCUACGUGUAGGUGGCUGACGGUACCGUAAGAAUAAGGACCGGCUAACUCCGUGCCAGCAGCCGCGGUAAUACGGAGGGUCCGAGCGUUAUCCGGAAUCAUUGGGUUUAAAGGGUCCGCAGGCGGCCAGAUAAGUCAGUGGUGAAAUUCCGUGGCUCAACCACGGAACUGCCAUUGAUACUGUUUGGCUUGAAUCAGUUCGAGGGAUGCGGAAUGUGUGGUGUAGCGGUGAAAUGCAUAGAUAUCACACAGAACACCAUUUGCGAGCAGUGUCCAGAACUGUAUUGACGCUGAUGAACGAAAGCGUGGGAGCAAACAGGAUUAGGAACUC